Molecule: ribosomal RNA, 253 nt
Filed under: uncultured bacterium
Lineage: Bacteria
Description: partial 16S ribosomal RNA
Rfam family: Bacterial small subunit ribosomal RNA
Source: RNAcentral
UACAGAGGUCCCAAGCGUUGUUCGGAUUCAUUGGGCGUAAAGGGUGCGUAGGCGGCGCGGUAAGUCGGGUGUGAAAUCUCGGAGCUUAACUCCGAAACUGCAUUCGAUACUGCCGUGCUUGAGGACUGGAGAGGAGACUGGAAUUUACGGUGUUGCGGUGAAAUGCGUAGAUAUCGUAAGGAAGACCAGUGGCGAAGGCGGGUCUCUGGACAGUUCCUGACGCUGAGGCACGAAGGCCAGGGGAGCAAACGGG